UGGGGAAUUGUUCGCAAUGGGCGCAAGCCUGACGACGCAACGCCGCGUGGAGGAUGAAGACCUUCGGGUCGUAAACUCCUUUCGAUCGAGACGAAUGGCCUCCGGGUGAAUAAUCCGGAGGAGUGACGGUACCGAGAGAAGAAGCCCCGGCUAACUCCGUGCCAGCAGCCGCGGUAAUACGGGGGGGGCAAGCGUUGUUCGGAAUUACUGGGCGUAAAGGGAUCGUAGGUGGCCAACUAAGUCAGACGUGAAAUACCUCGGCUUAACCGGGGAACUGCAUCUGAUACUGGAUGGCUUGAGUUUGGGAGAGGGACGCGGAAUUCCAGGUGUAGCGGUGAAAUGCGUAGAUAUCUGGAGGAACACCGGUGGCGAAGGCGGCGUCCUGGACCAAUACUGACACUGAUGAGCGAUAGCCAGGGGAGCAAGCGGG
This 430-nucleotide ribosomal RNA is filed under the name bacterium. RNAcentral describes it as "partial 16S ribosomal RNA". It matches the Rfam family "Bacterial small subunit ribosomal RNA", at positions 355 to 776 of the family's 1533-position model. The record is from RNAcentral.